Melitaea cinxia (Glanville fritillary) is the source of this 571-nucleotide long non-coding RNA. RefSeq lists it as uncharacterized. Lineage: Eukaryota; Metazoa; Arthropoda; Insecta; Lepidoptera; Nymphalidae. The transcript has 3 exons. The record is from RefSeq and is a predicted model, not a curated record.
AGUUGAGAUAAUGAAGCGAUCGUCCGUCUCAGAUGUGCUCCGGUGUCUAUUGGUUUGUGGUCUCCGAACGGAGCUACCGGUCUCUUGAAACCUUCUGUAUACUCAUGAAACAGCUGAUUGGCUCAUGUUAAGUUUACGAGCGACUUGCCUUUGAUUAUGGCCCGCUUGCAACAAACCUACAACUUGGACCGCUGCAUCUGAGGUAUUGUCCAUUGGAUCGCGAUUAAAAUACUGGGAGUUUAAGGAGAUGUGUACCUGUCAACAUCUGACGAGUGACUGAUAAGAAAUAUGGGUCACGUGAGCUCUUAUACAUGAUUUAGUCUCGCAACUCAUGGGUACCGCAACGGGUAAUUUCUGUAACGCUCAUGUUUGACCGUAUUUAUUUAAAAAGUUUUUUCAUUGUUUAUUUGAAAAUGGCUAUAUUUAUGAAAAAAAAUAUAUGUCUUUGGAAUAAAAAAAACUUUUACAAAAAUCGGAUACGCCAUUUUCCGAAAAAUCGAACAUAUAUACCAAUAUAAGGCUUGAGUCGAUUCAGUUGCACGCGAGUGUAUAAAUUUUUAUAUAUUUCGGU